This 468-nucleotide ribosomal RNA is filed under the name uncultured bacterium. Its description in RNAcentral is "partial 16S ribosomal RNA". It matches the Rfam family "Bacterial small subunit ribosomal RNA", at positions 28 to 507 of the family's 1533-position model. The record is from RNAcentral.
GACGAACGCUGGCGGCGUGCUUAACACAUGCAAGUCGAACGGAAAGGCCCUGCCUUUGUGGGGUGCUCGAGUUGCGAACGGGUGAGUAACACGUGAGUAACCUGCCCUUGACUUUGGGAUAACUUCAGGAAACUUGGGCUAAUACCGGAUAGGAGCUCCUGCUGCAUGGUGGGGGUUGGAUAGUUUCGGCGGUUGGGGUUGUACUCGCGGCUUAUCAGCUUGUUGGUGGGGUAGUGGCUUACCAAGGCUUUGACGGGUAGCCGGCCUGAGAGGGUGACCGGACACAUUGGGACUGAGAUGCGGCCCAGACUCCUACGGGAGGCAGCAGUGGGGAAUAGUGCACAAUGGGCGGAAGCCUGAUGCAGCAACGCCGCGUGCGGGAUGACGGCCUUCGGGUUGUAAACCGCUUUCGCCUGUGACGAAGCGUGAGUGACGGUAAUGGGUAAAGAAGCACCGGCUAACUACGUG